UACGUAGGGGGCGAGCGUUGUCCGGAAUCAUUGGGCGUAAAGCGCGUGUAGGCGGCUGCGUAAGUCUGUUGUGAAAGUCGGAGGCUCAACCUUCGAAUGCCAAUGGAUACUGCGCAGCUUGAGUUCGGAAGAGGAGAGUGGAAUUCCUGGUGUAGCGGUGAAAUGCGCAGAUAUCAGGAGGAACACCAACGGCGAAGGCAGCUCUCUGGGACGAUACUGAUGCUGAGACGCGAAAGCGUGGGGAGCAAACAGGAUUAGAAACCCCGGUAGU
This 271-nucleotide ribosomal RNA is filed under the name uncultured bacterium. Its description in RNAcentral is "partial 16S ribosomal RNA". It matches the Rfam family "Bacterial small subunit ribosomal RNA", at positions 524 to 794 of the family's 1533-position model. The record is from RNAcentral.